RNAcentral lists this ribosomal RNA (428 nucleotides) under uncultured Chlamydiae bacterium. RNAcentral describes it as "bacterial SSU rRNA". It matches the Rfam family "Bacterial small subunit ribosomal RNA", at positions 958 to 1385 of the family's 1533-position model. Lineage: Bacteria; Pseudomonadati; Chlamydiota; Chlamydiia. The record is from RNAcentral.
AACGCGAAGAACCUUACCUGGGCUCGAAAUGUAGAGGACGGUAUCAGAGAUGAUACUUCUCGAAAGAGUCUUUACAUAGGUGCUGCAUGGCUGUCGUCAGCUCGUGCCGUGAGGUGUUUGGUUAAGUCCAGCAACGAGCGCAACCCUUAUCGUUAGUUGCCAACGCGUAAUGGCGGGAACUCUAACGAGACUGCCUGGGUUAACCAGGAGGAAGGUGAGGAUGACGUCAAGUCCGCAUGGCCUUUAUGUCCAGGGCAACACACGUGCUACAAUGGUCGGCACAGAAGGCAGCGAAACCGCGAGGUGAAGCAAAUCCUAUAAAGCCGAUCUCAGUUCAGAUUGUAGUCUGCAACUCGACUACAUGAAGUUGGAAUUGCUAGUAAUGGCGUGUCAGCUACAACGCCGUGAAUACGUUCCCGGGCCUUGUA